AACAUCUUAUAAUACGGAUGACAUGCAGAAAUCCCUUUUUACUCUUAUAGGAAAUAAUUAUAGAAUAUGUAAUAGUCUAACCUUGUUUCACUGUGUUUUAAAAAAUCAUAAUAGUGCUUUUCUAUUCACUGCUAAUAAAUACAUUGUUCACAGAAUUGCUUGCUAGUUUUAUGUGAUAGUAUUGUUCUUCAAGUCAGUUGAGUGCCUGAAUAUUGCCGACUGCUAGGAUCCUAUCAUAACUGUACCAUACAUAGGUCUUAUGUGCUUUGCUUUGUUCUGUAUGUCUUCCUGAGGAGUAUUUGAGGCAGAAAUUGAUUUCUGAUGUGAGGUUUUGAACAUAUAUAUUAUGGUUAUCACCAUUUGGUAUUUGUCACCUAUUUUUUAAGUUGAAAUUGCUAGCUUUAUCAUAUCUUGGAGUUUUCAUAUUAAGUAUUAUAUACAAGUUUACUGCUAUUUAUAUAUAUAUAUAUAUAUAGUGGUAGGAUCAAAUAAAAACUUUUUUAAGUUACAAACUUACAAACUUUUUUUUGAAUUUUUUUAUUCUGCCAACAUGUUAAUCCUUAGUUAUAGAAAGUAUCAAUGUUGAAAAUUAUUGCAAAAACAUCACAAUUUUUAAAAAUAACGUAUAAAUAGAUCGUGCAUUCAACACAUUUGUAACUGAGGUUCAACAACACAUUUGUAACUGAGGUUCAACAUAGGGUGUAAAACACUAACUAUCAUUGUGUUGAAUAUAUCUAUAAAGAUGUUUAAACUAUAUCUUUGGGGUUUGGGUAGGGUCUAGAAACAUAUAUAUUGGUAAUAUAAUACGUUUAACUUAACAUUGGAAAAUUAGUUUAUGUACUUCUCCAACACAAUUUUAAUCGAUGUUCAACAAAAUAUGUUAAACAAAUGUUGAACUGAAAUUAUAUAUGUGUUGAACGCAUAAAGUUUGUAAGUUAGUACCAGAACCCACCCCUCUCUCUCUCUCUAUAUAUAUAUAUAUAUAUAUAUAUAUUUAUAUAUAUAUAUAUAUAUACUCCUUAAUAUUCAUUUAUAUUGAAAAAUUCUAAGCAAUGGUUCUCGCCCUUUUUGUAUCUUGAUGUCGUUUACAGAUAAAGCGUUCAACAGGACUUCAUGGAGCAUCUCUUUUUAGUGAAGAUAUCGUACGUCAGUGUCCAGGGUUGAGAUGUGGAAGAUUUUGGAAGGAAGAGCAUGACCUCUUACUUCUCCGUGCAGUACUAAAGUAUGUAUAACAGUAUAUGAUUGCGCGUGUGUGUGUGUGUGUGUGUUAAAUUUACCUUUUUAGAGCGUGUAUGGGCAAUAUCACAAUAGUCAAGUGGCUGCUAGAGACUUUUCUUUACCUCACGAUUAUGUAUUUUCAGUUUUUUACUAAAAAUACUCUGGCAUAGCACUUCCCAAAAUGUAGGAUAUGAGACCAAUUGUAAUCUUGAAAUUACAAUACCUUUCCAUCACUACUAUUGCACCUACUGAAGAUUCUGAUUUUGUUAUUUCUCAUACUCUAGUAUAUAUAAUGAUUAUAGGUAAAGGGAAUGUACUUGACAUGGCAGAAAACUUCCAUUGAUCAUUAUAAUGCAUUUUUAUUAUUUCAUUAAUUUUCUGGGGGUGGAUAGUUCUCAUUAUUUAUGCCUUAAAACGCCUUCAUUAGUUCGCAUUUAUAAAUGAUAUGGGUUGUCAUGCUAUUCGAGAGAGGUGGGGGAGCAAAGCUCAUGAAGCAAAGAACUAUCACUCGAACUAAUGUGAGGAAAAACAGAUCUGUGUUCUUUUGUUCAACUAGUUUAUAUAUAGAUAUCUAAGACAUGUUUUGACCUGGCCAAUUUAAAAUGGAUUAAAAUAGUAAACCCUAGUUUAGUUUGUGACUAGGUGUGACUCCAUGAUGACCUUCACCAAACAAAAUGAUUCCAUCUACUUGUUUUCUUCCCCCUUGUGGUCCAGUAUCGUGAAAAGUGCUCUUAUAUGAUUCUUCUUGAUUAGGCUCAACAUCUGCGAGGAAAUUCUGUAGUGUUACUUGAGUUCCAAAUUUAUAAUUAGUUGUUGGGGAAAUAAUUCGCUCUCACAAAAAUUUGCAAAAACUCAUGAGUUUAUGUUAAGAAGUUAAAUAUCCUUGCUAAGAAUGCAAGCAACUCUCUUUAGUUGGUAGGUUAUUACAGGAAAUACCCUAAGAAAUUUGGUGGUGAUUUAAUAGAAUUUGGUUAAGGGUUACCUGGAGAAAAAUUGGAUAUGUGUGUGUGUGUAGGCCAUUGCUCAAAGAAGAACACUGCUAAAAGAAGAAUAAAGAAGAACACUUUAGAAUCAAAUAUAGAAUCUCAUCUAAAACUUGCAUUAAAUUCUUAUUUUAAGGUAAUUAACCUUCUAUUGUGAAUAAUAAUAGUAUCCAACAUGUUUAACAAUAAAUAUGGAUUAAAAAUAAAAUGAUUCUAUGUAAAAUUAGUCGUGUAAAAAAUAUAUACAUGAUUCUGUUCUGGAUUUUGUUCUUGAUUCUAUAAUAUUUCAUAUUAAUAAUUUGAAUAAGUUUGGGUGUUAGAUUUCGUAUAUUAAGUUUAAUUGGUGUUUAACUAUGUAGUUAUAAUCUUAACAAAUCAUUUUUUAUGAAAAAUGAAGUGUUAUAAUAGUGCUAUGUGUUCUUUUUUAAAGUGUUCUUUCUAGGGUGCAACCAUAGAGGGCAUUGCUCAAAGAAGAACACCCUUAAAAGAAGAACAAAGAAGAACACUGUAGAAUCGCAUAUAAAAUCUCAUUUAAAACUUGAAUUAAAUUCUAAUUUUAAGCUAAUUAACCUUUUAUUAUGAAUAAUAAUAGUAUAUAACAUGUUUAAGUUUAACAAUAAAUAUGGAUUAAAAAUAAAAUGAUUCUAUGUAAUAUUAAUCGUGCGAAAUAUAUAUGCAUGAUUAUGUUCUGGAUUCUAUAAUAUUUCAUAUUAAUCAUUUGGAUGAGUUUGGAUGUUAGAUUUCAUAUAUUAAGUUUAAUUGCUGUUUAAUUAUGAAAUUAUAAUCUUAACAAAUCAUUUUUUAUGAAAAAUAAAGUGUUAUGAUAGUGUUCUUUGUUCUUUUUUUAAAAUGUUAUGUGUGGAGUGCAACCACACACACACACACACACACAUAUAUAUAUAAAUACGAACUACAAACUAGUGUCUAUAUAUAUAGAGUACUACUCCAAUAGAAACCAAAUUAGCCUAAAAACUAAAAACCAGUUUCUCGACAGUUUUUUAUCACUACUUUUAACUACAUAAAUCACUAAUUUGAACAUAACAUAUCACUAAUUUAUAUAUAGCAUAUCUCGCGGAUAUAAAUAUAUAUAUACACAUAUAUGCAACGUAUAUGACCAUCAUCUUCACCCAAAUCGUAAUAAUGGACCUCUUACCACCAUUACCAGACGUUUGCAUGACUUGCCACCAUUGUCUAUCAUCACCAAUAGUCACAUACACUUUUCCAUCAUAACUUACAAAACUAACGACUACUUACCAUCAUCAUACAACUUCUCUUGCGGCUUCCUACCGUCAAGAACCUUCCUACGGAUGAAAUUGAUCAUCUAUAAUCGAUUAUCAAUAGUUUAGAUAAGUAGUUUUUUUCAAUUUUGAUAAUAAAAUCGUUGUUUACAUACUGUAUAAAAACAGUGAUUAGUGCAGUAUAAAUCAAUGAUACCCGUGGUUAUAAAUAGUGGUAGGGAAACUGGUUUCUAGUUUUUAUUUUAAGAGUGGUUUCUAUUUGAUCAUGAGCCUAUAUAUAUAUAUAGGCUCAUGAUCAAAAAGAACCCACUCUAAAAAUAAAAACUAAAAACCAGUUUCUGGACAGUUUUUUAUCACUAUUUUUAACUAUAGAAAUCACUAAUUUGUACAUAACAUAUCACUAAUUUAUAUAUUGCAUCUCCCGCGAAUAUAAAUAUAUAUAUAUACACAUAUAUGCAACGUAUAUGACCAUCAUCUUCACCCAAAUCGUAAUAAUGGUCCUUUUACCACCAUUACCAGACGUUUCUAUGACUUGCCACCACUGUCUAUCAUCACCAAUAGUCACAUACAUUUUUCAUCAUAACUUACAAAACUAACGACUACUUACCAUCAUCAUACAACUUCUCUUGCGGCUUCCUACCGCCAAGAACCUUCCUACGGAUGAAAUUGAUCAUCUAUAAUCGAUUAUCAAUAGUUUAGAUAAGUAGAUUUUCUCAAUUUUGAUAAUAAAAGUCGCUGUUUACAUACUGUAUAAAAACAGUGAUUAGUGCAGUAUAAAUUAGUGAUACCCGUAGUUAUAAAUAGUGGUAGGGAAACUGGUUUCUAGUUUUUAUUUUAAGAGUGGUUUCUAUUUGAUCAUGAGCCUAUAUAUAUAUAUAUAUACGAACUACAAACUAAUAUGAGCCCUUAGAUGAAUCUAAUCCAAUGACCCCCUAGAAGUCAUCACACACAAUUAACAUACACCCACACAUGAUCCCAUAGGAUCCCCUCUUUUUUUAAUUUAAAUUUUCCCGUCAAUCGGUAAACUUUUUUUGAAAUCCGACUUCACUUUAUUUUUAUUCAUCUCCCAACGUUCAACUUGCAUACCAUAUAUGCUAUAUUUUGAUGUGAUUUAGAAAACUUUUUAUUUCAGUUUGUGGUUUUUAUUCUAAGAAAGGUUUGUAGUGGAGUUUGUUGGGGGGGGGGGGGGGGGGGGGGGGGGAAAUUUAGGGCAUGUGAAAAGUAUUAAGUGUUCUGCUUAUGGGCUACUGUAAUUACGUUAUGUGACUAUGCCACAUGCUAAUUAUUAUAUAAUUGAACUACCGACAAAAUUCUUGAAGUUAUUCAUUUGAAUUACUUUCACUAUAUAUUUAUUUUUCAAGAAAAGAACGUGCAUAUAAUCGUGCAUGCAAGUUCAUUUUAAUUUCCUCGUUCUUGCUGCUAGCCCUAUAUAAUUUAUGAUUAUAUAAUAUGCAACUUAGAAUGAGACAAAAUUGUAAGCUAUGUUAUUCGGACUCUUCAUUUUGCCUCCAAGUACCUGUGAUGGGCACUCGACAUGGACACUUGGACUAAGGCACUUAUUUUAGGCCAAAAACAUGUACACUUUUAAAAUAUUACAGAGUACCAUACAUGGACAGGUAUCCAUGUCAGACAAUCCUAGCCGAGUCCGAGUAACUUAGAUUGCAACAAAAUCAAACCAAAUUUUAGGGCACGAUUUGAUAUUUAUGUGUAUCCUAUCGUCUGUUAUCCAAUGUGGAGCAGGGAAAAGUGAAAUUAGUUGUUAGUGUGAUUGUAAUUAAAUAUUUUUAUUUUUAUUUUAAACACUUUAGAGGGUAGACAUACAGUAAUAGUUAAUAUUGUUGUAUUACAGUCCUGUUUGUUUUUUAUUUAUUUAUGCCAGGAUACUGUACAAUUAAUGUCUCUUUCUUGUGUCUUAUAUAAUGCCCGUAUUAUUGUGUCCUGUCCUUUAUAAAAAGCUCUUAUUACUGUUUAAUGUACUUAUACUCUUAGCGGUAGUGACUUGCAAGUUUAAAUUGUAAUUAAGCAGUCAACUACAACUCUUAGAUAUAUUUAAUUUGUUUUUUGGAUGCAGGCAUGGUUAUGGAAGAUGGCAAGCUAUUGUUGAUGACAAGGAAGUGAGAGUUCAGGAGCUUAUAUGUCAUGAGUUGAAUAUACCCUACGUAAGUCUUCCUGUUUUCGGAGCUCAAGCACAAGUUCCUGAAGUCAGGGCUCAGGAACAAGGUGUUAGCAUUGAAGGUUCUCAAGCACAAGGCACAAAUAUUUCUACCCUCGAAACGAUGGCUUAUGAUUCAAAGAUGCAAGUGGGUGGGAAUGGUUUAGGAACUAAUGCUACAAAGGAAACUAUCACCAAUCGCACACAAGUCUUUCAGGACUCUUCUCUUCUGUCUAAUUUUCGAGAAAUGCAGCGAAAAAAUGUUGAGUUUAUCAAGAAGCGGGUGCAGCUUUUGGAGAGAGCACUAAGUGCAGAAUAUCAGAAAGAAGUUUAUGUAAGUUUAUCAUAUCUUCUUGUGUCGGGACUCGGUCUGAACGUUAACUUAUACGGUAGUGUGACUCAACUCAGUUGCAGGAUGCGUAUCUUUUAAUCAAAGGAUAGAAUAUAUGUCCAGUUGCAUCACUUUGUAAGCACACAGAAAGUUGAGUAUCGCAAUAGUAUAUUUGACGCAGGAAAAGAGAAAAAAAUAAGAAAUGAAUUCAUCUUACACACUCAUCAUUAUUUCUGGACGUACUGUUAGAAUAGUUUCCCUGCAGCAGUAUCAGGCGCAUGUUUGGUGAAUUUGUUGUUUCGAUAGAACAUCGAAGGCAACAAAGUCUGCCCAGUUUAGCUUCUUGGGUGUUCCAGUCUUGUGUUACCGGAAUUUUUUUUAAAUCAAAACUGGUUUUUAAGAUUUUUGUUGUUUUUUUAUGUUGUUGGACUCUGGCGCUUAAUAUAUCCAAUGAAACUUCUGCUCGCGUAAAGUAUUUAUAUUUUUAUGUUGGUCUUAUGAUUAUCACAUUACAGGCUGAUGAAAAUACUAGUGAGGUUCCUGCUGGAGACAUGGAGACUGAAUCCGUGGUAGCCGACAUAACAGAUCCAAAUGUCAAGGAAGACAUGGCAGAUGCAAAUGUCAAGGAGGAUAUAGCAGAUCCAAAUGUCAAGGAGAAUAAUUCUGACUUGUAUGAAUGUUUGCCUCGUCUAGACGUGAUCUGUGAGUGAACAAGCUUUUCUUCCCUUUCUUGAGGCUUUUUUUUUUUUUUUUUUUUUUUUAACACUGCUCGGCUUCCAACUUAUCUCUUAAUGGUUUCUGCCACUUUCCAUGUAUUGCUCUUGAAAUUACCAUGAACGUUUUCUUACAAGAUAAUGCAAGGGUAGUUACUAGAAUAUCGUACCACUCGAACUGUAGUGUUGCGUACAUUAAACUUAGAACAUAUAGCAAUACAUCAAAAAGGUAUUUGCAUAUUUCUCAAGAUAAAGCUAAAAUAUCCAUGUUGCGGGUGUUUACCGCCGAUAUGAUUUAUUAUAUUAGCAACUGACACACCUGAUGUUGAAAACAGUCAAAUAAUGACAGAGUACAAUCCUAGUAAACUUGGGAUAGAUUCUUCAAAUCUAAAAGGGUAGAUCUGCCUUCGUUGACCGGGGCCAUCAUAUAUCAUUUUCUCUGUUUCCAGUAAGUCUGAGUAGAGGUCAUAGUAACCAAGUGAGCGACCAGUUGUUUAGUUGAAAUUGCAGAAUGACGUACUCGCUUGACCGAUUGCUUAGUAGUUAAGCAUGACUGCAUGAGUAUUCAUAUUUGAUGAAGUACUAAGUCUGUUCCAUAAGAAAAUGUUUUGAGACUUCAACCCAGUCGGGGCCUUGCAUGGGAAUUAUAUUCAAUAUAUUAUAAGGGAUUUUCUAUGGUGUGCCCAAGGGCACACAAUAGUCCCUAACUCCAAUAAAAAUAGCUCCUUUUGAUUGGUGGAUGAAUAAUAAAUGAUAAUGGCCCCCCUGCAUUUACAUCAACUCCACCAAUCAGAAUAGGCCAUUUUUAUAGAAUUUAGUGAUUAUUGUGUGCCCUUGGGCACACAUUAGAAUUAUACUUUUUUGGCAAGCAAAGGUAUACUUGAUUGGGAAGUAAGCGGAGCUGGGUAUUUUGUGUUGGGGGAAAUUCAAAGUUUAAGGAAAUUUAAACAUUCGACUUUAGGGAUUUGUUUUGGCCUUUUUUUUUUUAAAUUUUUAAUUAAUCAUCUUAAGAUAGAUUUUAAUGUCUAGUUCAGAGUUUCAGUGUUAGAUAGGCAAUAAAGCUUCUCUUUUCAUGUAACAUUAACGAAUAGAACAUGAGUUCUUACGCUACUUUUCUCGUGUCUUGAUUUCAGUAGUGGGUAAUUAAAUUUCUUUCAAGCUCUUAUAGAGUUAGUCUUGCUUGCAUUGUGGGUGGUUAAUUCCUUUAAAAGAAACAUUUAAACUUAUAGUUACGUAUCUAUUAUUUGUUUUUCCCCAAACAUAUAUAUUAUAUUAUCUUGGUAUCUAAAGCCGUGGUUCUGAUAGUUUUUGGUAUUUCAUAUUGGAAGAAACAUUUAAAGAUGCAUUCUUUGUUUCAAGAUUUCUUGAGUUUUGUUAAGUUACAUCGAAAUGACUGGUGAACUAGUUGUUGACUAGUAGCGAGUAUUCAAGAGCCGUAACAUCAAUGUUGUUCAAGGCACUUUCUCCAAGAACUUAUGUAUGAGUAGUUCAGUCAGGAGUACUAGGUUUUUCCAUGGUUAAGAUAUUUAGGUAGAAGUGUAUCUCAUGGCUAGAAACUAAAGGUUUCAUGUAAUGAUAAAGCCAUAUGAUACUCAAAUUUGAUAGGAGUAUGAGUAUUAUAAAAUUCUUAGAAUGGUAGCAACGUAUUGAACAAGUGUUCUAUUACAAGGAUAGUGAUGAUCAAUAGUGGCCGAAGAUUGUUCUUUUGAAGUUUAAGAUAUUUACUGGUACAAGAUUACAAAGAACAAGAACAGGAAGAAAAGACCCUGUUUUCCUGAAAGCUACAUGCUAAGUCCCUGUAACAUCAUUGUGUAAUUCAUAUAGUGUGUAUAUCUAUUAUUAUGCUGCUAAAUUAUUAUUUUACAUUCAACAUUUUAAAAUAAUAAUGAUAUGUGUGUGUGUGUGUGUGUGAGUUUGCACAUUAGACUAUUAGCAUACGCGAGAAUCCUUGUGUGUCAUUAUCCUACUGUGAGAUGAUAUGGUUUAACAUUAAAUUAGGUUCUAUUAAUGGUAUAUAUUUUUCCUUCAUUCAGGUUCUACCAAAAGGAUUGUUGGUAAUGUAUAUGCAAAUAUUGAUAUAAUGCAUGAGGUUUGGGUUCUGGUAAUGCACCAUUAAGCAGGUGACAGUCAGUCCCUUGUCAACUUGACUACACUUUACAACAAUACUAGGAAGAAUUUAAGUGUAGAGUAAUCUGCUCGUCUCACAUUGAGACUUGUGAAGCACUUGGUUAAGUUUAAAAGGUGAAGUACUAAUACCAGUUGCACUGACAGAUUUUAUGAUUGUUUGAGGCUUUGGUGGGCUUGUUGAUUAGUUGUUGUGUGAGUGUACUGGGUAUAUUUCAGAUCUUAUUUAAACCUGGAUAUGGAUUAAGUCUCGCGAUUUAAAUUAGGUUGUUCUAUCAAUUUUUGUAUUAGAACUUAUCAUGUAUCAUUAUCUCAACCAGCUCUAUACACUACAGUAGCAUCUGGAAAAUGUACAGCAGUGCUAUGCUAUUGCCUUUUCAUGAGAGAUUUAGACUUUCACAUUAAACAGUUACUACCUUACUGUAUGAAGAUUUUUUACCUAAUUCUUUACUUGCGCAGCUCCAGAAGAAAUAGCAGCAGCUGCUUGUGAUGAUAAUAAACAGCGUAUGGAUAUGGCUCAACUUUAUAACAAGGUGGCUUCCUGAGACCUCAUCUUGCAUUCUAAUCACUGUUGUCACUUGGAAUGUUACUUAUUUGCUAAAUUUUUGUGUUAGUAACUUUGCACAUUGAUAGAGCUUUGGAUUCGUUUUAACUUUGUACACUAGUUAUUGCUCUGUUUUAAGAUAAAUUAUUCUUGCCCUUUGUGCACCUCAGGGUUCUUUUUGGAAAAACAUUAGCAUGAUACAUUGUUGACACCUAUAAGUUGCUAAAACUAGAAGUGCAAAUUGGGAACAUACAUGGACUUGUACAACCUAACCUAAAGCUUAAGCUCAAUAGCUUGAUGCCCCAUAGAAACAUCAGCUUUUUUGUAUUUUAACCAUAUUGCUUCUGAACAUUAUUCACAGAUGUGCAGUGUACUGGAUCAUAGUGUCCACGAUUGUGUCAAAGCACAUUUGACAAGUAAACCUGUUGGUCCUGAGUUGAGACAAAACCUUCUUCCAUUAGAGUCAAUUUACCAAAGCAUCUGCCAAAAUCUGCGUUCUGGGCAGCAGAGUAUAUCUGGUGCAGAAUCGGCGACUUUGGAAAGAGAUAAUCUAUCAUCUGUUGAAGGACACAUAUCUUCAUCACCUCAAGCAAAUGAGCAUGAUCAUAGAGCUGGGAUAGAAACAGAGGCCAAGGUUACUGCAGAAGUUCAGCCAAUAACCGAAUCAGUAGAAGAAAAGACCAGUCCUGUAUGUGACAUCCAGACUACUGACUUUUGUUCACUUGAAAGAAAACCUGCUUCAACUAGUGGCACUGGAGGUAAUGUUGAGAUGGAAGAGGCAGAGCAUACAGUUGAUUCUGGUAACGCAGCAUCUGGGAGUAGUGAGAAAAAAGGCCCCCCUGUUAUAUAUCUGGAUGAUUGAAUCAGUACAAAGAUCUAUUUUUGAAAUUUCUGAGGAGAAAAAAAAAUCUAGGUUAUCCAUGUAGCUGCUAGAUUGAAAUGGAGUCAGUUGCAAUAGCCUAGGUGUCCAAAUGUUGUUUUCUAUAUAACAUGAACUCAUGAAGCACCCCCCACAGCGGGUCAAUGACAACUAUUCUGGACGGCCUAAAAUAGAGAACAUUUAGUUUUGCAAAACACUAUAUAUUUUAUUUGCCGUGCAAUUUUCUGUAUACUAAAACAUAUGGUGGUGUUCUGAAUUGUUCUUUAAGUUGUCAAUUAAAAUUGUGUUUCAAAAACAAAGAUAAAAUACGUUUUUGUAUAUAUAGAAUUAGCUGGUGUUCUGCAAAUGUUUUCUUGUAACAAUUUUUAGAAAAGUAUAAUAAAUAUCGUUUGUUUGAUAGAAACUCCUGGAUGGAUAGUGCUUGCGGGUUGAUGAAGCAUUAGCAGUGUUCGAAACCAAACCAUGGCAACAAAGGAAAUAUUGGCUAUAAUAUCCUCCUCAAUGGGUAUCGUAAAAAGUUGAAAGUGGAAGGUCAAUAAAACCAGUAAUAAAUUAAAAGUUACGAUCAGACGGCAUCAUCUUUUAAUCUUUAUUAUAAAUAAAAUAAAAUGAAGACAACAUGUCUGUCAAUUUAGGUUUUACUGGAAGGAGAUCAAUCUCAACCGCCACACAGAAGCUAUGCAUAUGAAUCUCACGGAUCAUCACGGCUGGCAUACCUUCGAGCACCUCCCUAUGCACUGUUUCAGGUUCCCAUUGUCUGUCAAACACAAUCACACUUGUCAGUAAUCUAUUGUAUCCAGAACAAUCACCACAGGUGGAUUUAAUUAAAUUAAAAAUGCAUCAUAAUCAGUGCAGAUCUAGGAUUCGAAAGCAAAUUUUUAAAAAAUAUCUAUGUAUUUUAUAAUUUGGAACACUUCUAUAAUCCUGUAAAACUUAGAACGAUGAAAAAAUGUAAAAAGAAAUUUUAGGAGAAUACGUGUCUCCGGGCCUCUUACUAGAUCCGCCUCGACACAUAAAAUUAUAUUGGAGCCUGCCGCGUGGCCUUACCGAGAAUAGUUAAAGUGUUGCAGAGAUCAGCCGCGCAACCAAGCUGACAGUAGUAGUUGAGCGAGGGCUGGGGCGAAGAAGGGCGGCAGCUGCUCAAACAUUUGUAGUAACACGGAUAGGUGGUGGUUGUGGGAAUUCUGUCUCCUUUGAGAAUAAUGCAUUUGUUGUAACACCCUCCCCAGCAUUCAUAUUCUGUUGCUGCUCUUGCGCCGCUUGUUGCCAGUACUAAUAAAACGAUUCCCAACAAAAUCUUGUUUACGUCUAAUUUUGUGUUAGUCAUCUCCAUCGUUACUAGAUUUCAUUGCCAUCUUCAUCGCGCAUAUAGUUUAUAUGGAGGAUGUAAUAAAUGGAGCAGGGUGUGCUUCUCACCAGCUAGACUGCCAACUGUUUUCUAACAUUUGAAAGUCAUAUAUGUUAUGCUUGUUAGCCGCAGAACUUCCGCACAGGCUGACGUUCAUGGCAGUUUGCUGCUGACCUGACUGCUAAUGUUAUUUCCUUUUUAGUCUGAAUGAGAUUUACUAUGACAUUUGGUGCCAAAUAUUUGGUCAUUUUAGUAUGGAUAAGACUUACUAUUUCAGCCAUUCGGUGUGAAAUAAGUGCUCAUUCGUAAGAAAAACUAUUGUGCUUGUGCAUAUGGUAUAUAUUUGAUUUGAUCCUUGUCAGUUUGACCAAGACUCCAAGAGGGAGACCAUAUCAGGAUUAGGGUCACGGGGUUACCAAAUAUCCAAACAUUUGGUAGCAACUAGAAUAAAUUGUUGUAUUUUAAAUAGAAUAAAUUUUUGUAUUUUAAAAAUAGAAAUAUAUCUAUAAUUUAGAAUUGUUAUAAAUAAAAUAUAUAUUUUAUAUAGUCAAGUUAGGUAGAGUAUCGGAGUCUUAAAGUCCACAUAUAUUUUACAAGUAAAAUACUUGUAAAAUAUAAUUUAAAAGAGAUAUUAUAGAAUAUAUUAUUAUUUCGAAUGAUAUUCUGCGAAUAUUAUUAUUUUAUUAAAAAUCUUGUCGUAAAUUAUAGCUUAAUAUUUUUUAUUCGGUAAAAAUCUUGAAAAUCAUUAUUCUAUAUAUAUAGCUUAAUAUUUCUUAUUAGUUGAGAAUUUUUGUCGUAAACUGAAUUUUAAACUUGUUCAAUAAAUUAAGAUCUCAGUCUUUUCUUCGCAAAGUACCCGAGAAUAGUGUUUUUUUUUUACUUAGAAUGGAAAGAAAAGUAGGUUUUGUUUGCGAGUCUAGUUAGAACUUUUACAAAUAUCAAACCAUACAUAAUUUUUGAAGUUUCUUAAUCAUUUUCAAUGAGAAUUUUCCUAUCUGAAGCCACCUAAGUGUAAGAUGAUACCUGAUCUCCAUCAAUCCUCUAUGUUCGGAGAAAGGGUUUGUAUUAAGAAAUCAAUUGAAAUUGUUUUCUAAUACUUUAACUAGUUUCAUACAUAAAAAUAUAAUAUUAAAAAUUUGCAUUCAAAUAAAUUAACAUUAUAAUAUAUUCUGUUUUUUAAAAAAAUUUAAUUAGGAUACUCCAGAUUACCAUAGCCACGGGCGACAGCUACGAUAGAGAGUCCUAAUUCCGUGCUUUAUUUGUUAAUGAGAGUAAAAUCAAAUGGCCCUUCAAUUUGAAACCCUAAUUUCAGUUGAUUUCUCAUUUUCCAUCUUCUAAUUAAUUGUUUCAUAUGUAUAAUUUCAUUUUACAAAUAUAUAAUUAAAUAAUCUGGAGUAUCCUGAUUAAUUUUUUUUUUAAAAACAGAAUAUAUUAUAAUGUUAGUUUCAUCUUCUAAUUAUAUUUUUAAUAAAAAUAUAAUAUUAAAAAAUUUGCAUUCUGCCUUUUAAUUAAACAAUUAAUUAAAUACUCCAAAUUAUUUAAUUAAUUGUUUCAUCAAUACCCUUUAUUAAUAAGCGAAACCACUUUUCGGUGGAACAUCGGUACCAAAAGUACCAAAAUUUGGUCACUUUCAUAUUAAUUAGGAUUUUAGAUUCAUUAUUAUACUAUUAUCAAAAGACUUCUAUAUUGAAUAGAACUUUAUUAUUAAAGACCUCAAUAUUCAUUAGGAUAGUGAAAGACAUCUGUAUUGAUUAGAAUUUUAUUAUUAAAAACUUCAAUAUUGAUUAGGAUAAUGUUAUAUAGAUUUUUUAUUUAAUAACAAUAAUCAUUAUAGAAUUAUGAAAAGAUUUUCAUAUUGUUAGGAUUUUAUAAUUAUUAUUAUACAUUUUUAGACUUUUAUAAUUAUUAUUAUACAAUUAUGAAAAGACUUCUAUAUUGAUUUGGAUUUUAUAUUAAAAAUUUCAAUAUUGCUUAAGAUUAUUACACUACUAUAAAAAGACUUCUAUGGUAUUUAGGAUUUUGUAAUAUAACAUUUAUCAUAUC
Molecule: long non-coding RNA, 13574 nt
Filed under: Daucus carota (carrot)
Lineage: Eukaryota; Viridiplantae; Streptophyta; Magnoliopsida; Apiales; Apiaceae
Description: long non-coding RNA (DCAR_LNC001503)
Source: RNAcentral